This 253-nucleotide ribosomal RNA is filed under the name uncultured bacterium. RNAcentral's name for it is "partial 16S ribosomal RNA". It matches the Rfam family "Bacterial small subunit ribosomal RNA", at positions 524 to 776 of the family's 1533-position model. The record is from RNAcentral.
UACGAAGGGUGCAAACGUUGCUCGGAAUUAUUGGGCGUAAAGCGCACGUAGGCGGCUCUGCAAGUCGGAUGUGAAAUCUUAUGGCUUAACCAUAAAAGUGCAUCCGAAACUGCAGUGCUUGAGUACUUAAGAGGAUCGCGGAAUUCCCGGUGUAGAGGUGAAAUUCGUAGAUAUCGGGAGGAACACCAGUGGCGAAGGCGGCGAUCUGGGAAGAUACUGACGCUGAGGUGCGAAAGCGUGGGGAGCAAACAGG